This 67-nucleotide transfer RNA is filed under the name Marmota monax (woodchuck). RNAcentral's name for it is "tRNA.Asp". Lineage: Eukaryota; Metazoa; Chordata; Mammalia; Rodentia; Sciuridae. The record is from RNAcentral.
GGAUUGUAGCUCAGUGAUAGAGCACUCCCCUAUCACCGGCGGGACCCGGGUUCGAUCCUCAGCACCA